Molecule: ribosomal RNA, 444 nt
Filed under: Malaysiamiris rufobadius
Lineage: Eukaryota; Metazoa; Arthropoda; Insecta; Hemiptera; Miridae
Description: partial large subunit ribosomal RNA
Rfam family: Bacterial large subunit ribosomal RNA (bases 318-444)
Source: RNAcentral
GACUGUACAAAGGUAGCAUAAUAGUUUGUCUCUUAAUUAGAGUCUGGAAUGAAUGGUUAGAUGAGAAAUUAGCUUUCUUUAUUUUAGAUAAAAAAUUUAACUUUUAAGUCAAAAGGCUUAGAUUUUAUUGGAGGACGAGAAGACCCUAUAGAACUUUAUAUUUAAAUAUAAAAAAAAGAUUUUGUUAAUUAUUUAUUUUUUUAUAUUUAUAUAUUUUGUUGGGGUGACAAAAAAAAAUUAAUAUCUUUUUUUACUUUAUUCAUUAAUUUAUGAUAAUUUUAUCCUAUAUUAUGGAAAUAAGAUUAAGUUACCUUAGGGAUAACAGCGUUAUUACUUUGGAGAGUUCAUAUUGAUGAAGUAGUUUGCGACCUCGAUGUUGGAUUAAAAUUAGUUUCAGGGGUAGAAGAUUGUUUUCUAGGUCUGUUCGACCUUUAAAAUUUUACA